GCCAUCUAAGGGAAACAAUAAUUUGAAUUGUCAACGACAUUGUUGAACAGUUUCAUUUCCGGUUACAACAAUGGAAGAGCUCCUUAAGUUUGCAAGUUUUAAAGCCAAUUUGAAGUUAAUUAACACCUGCAUCUACUAGUAAACAGUGAUUUUUCAAUUGGAAGAUUAUGCAACUUUAAUUGCAUGAAGUACUUUGAUGAGAUGCAUGCAUAUUCACCAGUCCGGCCAACCUGCCUCUGCCACUUGCUCCCUGCGAAGGUCCCCAGAACACGAAAGCACCCAC
Long non-coding RNA from Nicrophorus vespilloides, 283 nucleotides. RefSeq lists it as uncharacterized. The transcript has 3 exons. Lineage: Eukaryota; Metazoa; Arthropoda; Insecta; Coleoptera; Silphidae. The record is from RefSeq and is a predicted model, not a curated record.